This 120-nucleotide ribosomal RNA is filed under the name Candidatus Nezhaarchaeota archaeon. The record is from RNAcentral. Lineage: Archaea; Thermoproteati; Candidatus Nezhaarchaeota. RNAcentral also lists the same sequence under 1 other name.
GCCGCCGGCCAUAGUGGGCGGGACCCACCCGGUCUCAUCAGAACCCGGAAGUUAAACCGCCCAACGCGCACCCGAGUACUGGGCUCCGCGAGGGCCUGGGAAAGGGGCGUGCUGGCGGCA